RNAcentral lists this ribosomal RNA (160 nucleotides) under uncultured bacterium. RNAcentral describes it as "partial 16S ribosomal RNA". It matches the Rfam family "Bacterial small subunit ribosomal RNA", at positions 354 to 507 of the family's 1533-position model. The record is from RNAcentral.
CUGGGGAAUAUUGGACAAUGGGCGCAAGCCUGAUCCAGCAAUACCGCGUGUGUGAAGAAGGCCUGAGGGUUGUAAAGCACUUUCAAUAGGGAGGAAAACCUGUCGGCCAAUACCCGGCAGCUUGACAUUACCUAUAGAAGAAGCACCGGCUAACUCCGUG